UACGUAGGGUCCGAGCGUUGUCCGGAAUUACUGGGCGUAAAGAGCUCGUAGGUGGUUUGUCGCGUUGUUCGUGAAAACUCACAGCUCAACUGUGGGCGUGCGGGCGAUACGGGCAGACUGGAGUACUGCAGGGGAGACUGGAAUUCCUGGUGUAGCGGUGGAAUGCGCAGAUAUCAGGAGGAACACCGGUGGCGAAGGCGGGUCUCUGGGCAGUAACUGACGCUGAUGCACGAAAGCUAGGGGAGCAAACAGG
This 253-nucleotide ribosomal RNA is filed under the name uncultured bacterium. RNAcentral describes it as "partial 16S ribosomal RNA". It matches the Rfam family "Bacterial small subunit ribosomal RNA", at positions 524 to 776 of the family's 1533-position model. The record is from RNAcentral.